This 434-nucleotide ribosomal RNA is filed under the name uncultured Clostridium sp. Its description in RNAcentral is "partial 16S ribosomal RNA". It matches the Rfam family "Bacterial small subunit ribosomal RNA", at positions 341 to 792 of the family's 1533-position model. RNAcentral also lists the same sequence under 1 other name. Lineage: Bacteria; Bacillati; Bacillota; Clostridia; Eubacteriales; Clostridiaceae. The record is from RNAcentral.
ACGGGAGGCAGCAGUGGGGAAUAUUGCACAAUGGGCGAAAGCCUGAUGCAGCGACGCCGCGUGAGUGAAGAAGUAUUUCGGUAUGUAAAGCUCUAUCAGCAGGGAAGAAAAUGACGGUACCUGACUAAGAAGCCCCGGCUAACUACGUGCCAGCAGCCGCGGUAAUACGUAGGGGGCAAGCGUUAUCCGGAUUUACUGGGUGUAAAGGGAGUGUAGGUGGCAAGACAAGUCAGAAGUGAAACUCCGGGGCUCAACCCCGGAACUGCUUUUGAAACUGUCUAGCUUGAGUGCAGGAGAGGUAAGCGGAAUUCCUAGUGUAGCGGUGAAAUGCGUAGAUAUUAGGAGGAACACCAGUGGCGAAGGCGGCUUACUGGACUGUAACUGACACUGAGGCUCGAAAGCGUGGGGAGCAAACAGGAUUAGAUACCCUGGUA